AAGGCAGAACAACAUGACUGAAGGCGAUGAGGAACAGCUGAUCACCUGUGGAAGUCAUUUGUCCUAAAUUGUCAUGGACAGACCAUGUGCCUUACAGCAAGAAAAUUCUGUGAAUAAACAGGAAGCCAGCCAGCCAGGGAAGAUGCUUUUGUGAUAUAUCCCAGCAUGCUGAUGACCCCAAGGAGGACCACUGGAUACCUAGCAAGGAGCUGGCUGCAGCAUACCAUGAAUCCUCACAGCAACUUAAUGAGGAAAAAGAAGAACUGAUUGAAGAGUGGCAACCAGAACCUCUUGUUCCUCCUGUCCCAAAAGACCAUCCUGCUCUCAACUACAACAUCGUUUCAGGGGACACAAAAUGGGGGAAACAUGUUGUUUCUGCUUCUGCAAGGAACCAGACUGCCAUCUCUAAUGCAUGCAUCACAGGUACCCAGUAGGGGCAGUCAAACAGCAAAAGCUACACAAUGAUGGGCCACGGGAGCAAGGGUGAAAAGACGGAAGAGAAGAUUAGAAAUUAGCCUAAGAUUUCUGAUCUACUAAUUUACAAUGUAGGUGACACUGUGUUCCAAGUGUUUUGGCUUUUGGUGUAAGCCAAAUUUGAGAUGUAUCUUUACAGCCACAAGUUUUCUGGAUAAUACAUAGAUAAUCAUAAGCCUCUUUCCAAA
Molecule: long non-coding RNA, 662 nt
Filed under: Homo sapiens (human)
Lineage: Eukaryota; Metazoa; Chordata; Mammalia; Primates; Hominidae
Description: novel transcript
Source: RNAcentral